GUACUCCUUGCUCAAUUCCGGUUGAUCCUGCCGGAGGCCACUGCUAUGGGGGUCCGACUAAGCCAUGCGAGUCAUGGGGCGCGCUCUGCGCGCACCGGCGGACGGCUCAGUAACACGUCGGUAACCUACCCUCGGGAGGGGGAUAACCCCGGGAAACUGGGGCUAAUCCCCCAUAGGCCUGGGGUACUGGAAGGUCCCCAGGCCGAAAGGGGCUCUGCCCGCCCGAGGAUGGGCCGGCGGCCGAUUAGGUAGUUGGUGGGGUAACGGCCCACCAAGCCGAAGAUCGGUACGGGCCAUGAGAGUGGGAGCCCGGAGAUGGACACUGAGACACGGGUCCAGGCCCUACGGGGCGCAGCAGGCGCGAAACCUCCGCAAUGCGGGCAACCGCGACGGGGGGACCCCCAGUGCCGUGGCACAGCCACGGCUUUUCCGGAGUGUAAAAAGCUCCGGGAAUAAGGGCUGGGCAAGGCCGGUGGCAGCCGCCGCGGUAAUACCGGCGGCCCAAGUGGUGGCCGCUAUUAUUGGGCCUAAAGCGUCCGUAGCCGGGCCCGUAAGUCCCUGGCGAAAUCCCACGGCUCAACCGUGGGGCUUGCUGGGGAUACUGCGGGCCUUGGGACCGGGAGAGGCCGGGGGUACCCC
Molecule: ribosomal RNA, 639 nt
Filed under: Thermococcus sp. 9N3
Lineage: Archaea; Methanobacteriati; Methanobacteriota; Thermococci; Thermococcales; Thermococcaceae
Description: bacterial SSU rRNA
Rfam family: Archaeal small subunit ribosomal RNA
Source: RNAcentral